RNAcentral lists this ribosomal RNA (444 nucleotides) under uncultured bacterium. RNAcentral's name for it is "partial 16S ribosomal RNA". It matches the Rfam family "Bacterial small subunit ribosomal RNA", at positions 331 to 792 of the family's 1533-position model. The record is from RNAcentral.
CCAGACUCCUACGGGAGGCAGCAGUGGGGGAUAUUGCGCAAUGGGGGGAACCCUGAUGCAGCGACGCCGCGUGGGUGAAGAAGCGCCUCGGCGCGUAAAGCCCUGUCAGCAGGGAAGAAAAUGACGGUACCUGAAGAAGAAGCCCCGGCUAACUACGUGCCAGCAGCCGCGGUAAUACGUAGGGGGCAAGCGUUAUCCGGAUUUACUGGGUGUAAAGGGAGCGUAGGCGGCAGUGCAAGUCAGAAGUGAAAGCCCAAGGCUCAACCAUGGGACUGCUUUUGAAACUGUACAGCUAGAUUGCAGGAGAGGUAAGUGGAAUUCCUAGUGUAGCGGUGAAAUGCGUAGAUAUUAGGAGGAACACCAGUGGCGAAGGCGGCUUACUGGACUGUAAAUGACGCUGAGGCUCGAAAGCGUGGGGAGCAAACAGGAUUAGAUACCCCGGUA